GAGCCUCCGCCAGGCUUCGGGACCGAGGCGCUGGGGAGCUGCACCGCGGCGGUAUGGGCCCCUGCGCAGCUUCCUCAGCUCACCCUUCAGGUCACUUCUUCAGAAAUGACUUCCCAGCCAUCCAUCUAAAGGAGCUUUCAAAACCCCAACAGCAGCCGUACUCUGCCAGUCAAACCCCUGACCUACAUGAUCAGCAUGAGCUCUUGUCCUGUCUUCAAAGAGGACUUCCCGGGGUUCACUGGUCCGAGGUGACAGUAAAGGAAUGAAUGUUUAGCAACAAAAGAAAAUGAAUCAGUAAAUGAACACCAUCAACACAUUUCUGGAAGAUGAAAGAUGAUUAAAGUGAUUAAAGGUGUUUCUGGACUAACGAAAGUGAGGCGAGAAAGCCACAGGCCUGGACUCAACCAGAAGGGAACGGCCGCUCAAAGGUUAGUAAAAUGAGGAUAAUGGACAGAAAAGAAGUACAGCUGAAAAAAGAGCAAGUAAAGUGAAAUUCUGCAAAUAAACCUGUCACCUGCCACUCCAGUGGCAGAAAUGUGGUCAGGUAUUUAAACUCAUACAGAGGGCAAUGUAGGUGACCCACCAGCAUAUCUCUCACCUUAAUUUCUUUGAAAGAACUCUAGUUUUUAUUAGGUCUCUGUCCCUACCCUCAUUCACAAGCUCCAGAGAUGGAUCCUGAUGAGUUCUGGCAAACUAUGUUAAGUUCAUUCCCCUUGCCAGUGAACGAUAUAGUUAUGAAUAAGCACAAAUCGAUUCUGGCUAGCAAUCAAUAUGAGAGGAAAUCUGCUAAGACUUCUGGGAAGCUCCCUGGCUCCUAAGAAAGUCGUAAAAGAAAACACUCUUUUCUUUCUUUAGCUCUAACCAGAUCCAGACGUAUACCUAGAACUGCUAUCGCCAUCCAGCAGCAACCAUAGAGGAAGCCACUGUAAACAGAGGGCCUAGGUAGGGAGAACGACAGAGGAGAGUAAACGAAAAGACCUUGUUCCUCGCUGACAACACUGAACCACUGACUAUAAGCUGCCUAGAGUCAACCUCUCUGAACUUCCUGAAACACAAGACAACAUUUUAUUUUAUGAACCAGUUUGAAUCAAUUUUGUUGCUUGUAACCAAAACCAUUCUGAUAAACUUUCAGCCAAAAAAUCCUGCAUGUUCUUCUCUAAACACAUCGAACUUACUAUAUAAACUCACACAAUCUUCUGGCAUUUGGACAUAUCCUUUAAUGUCCACUUCUAUGUCUGUUAACUCUAAAGUGAAACCUACCUAUUGACAAGCCUUACUGAAAUACAAAAAGAAUGCCCAGUAAGCCCAAUGCUUUAUUUCUAAAUAGAAACAAGUCAACUAAGAAUCACCAGAGACGUGAAGACAGUCUAUAGCAGCCUGAAAAACACCAAAAUAAACAACACUGAAAUUUAAGAAUUUUGUCAGAAAACAAAUGUCAAGUAAAUGCCCCAAAAUCGAAAGCAGAAAGAUAAUAAGAAAUAUGAGGAUAAUCAAACUGGGAGAUCUAUUAUUCAACCAACAGCAGUUUCCAAAACCAAUGGUUUUGGUUACAAGCAACAACAGAAACAAAUAAUAGAGAAAUGAAGAGAUUACUGAAGCAACUAAACAAGAAAAAUUUCCAGAAAUGAAAGAAGACAUGAAUUUUUAACUUUAAGGAACCCACCAAACAACAAAAAGGAUUAAAACAUAAGAAUAGGAAUUAAAAACCCCAGCACAGAUGUGUCAUUGUGAAACUAAGCUCCCAGAGAGGAAAAGAAAAUAGGUUACUUACAAAAGAACAAUGACACUGGCAUUAAGAUUUCUCAUAAACAAUAUUAGAUACCAGAAGACAUUGGGGCAAAUGUUAAAAAAUCCUAAGGAAAAUACACCUUGUAGACUCCAGCUAAACUACAGAUCAUAUUUAACAAUAGAAAAAGAAAUUUUCAGACAUUAUGAUCACUCAAUACCUUCCUUUUCUUAGACUGUAAUGAGUAUGUGAUCAAGCAGAAAAAUAAACCCAGAAAGGAGACAACCGUAAGUUAAGGUAGAAAAGCAUUAAAUGGGAACUACUAGGUAGAUAACUGUGAAAUAAGCUUUUCACACUGAGGUAAAAAAACACAGAGCUCCAAAACAUUUCCAGGUAAAAAGGGAUGUGUUAGACCAGAUAGUAUGGUUGAAAUUCUGGAUUCUUGAGCGUAUGAUAAAAGCAAAGAAUGCAACGUAACUAAUAAUAUUCUCCCUCAAGCUAUUAAAAAAAAAAAAAAAAAGCCAAAAAGAAGCACUAGCCAAAGCCAUGCAUAAAGUCAGUGUGAUUUUAGAAAAAAGUCUUUGUGACCCCCUUGGACUAUAGCCCCACCAGGCUCUGCUGUUCAUGGAAUUCUCCAGGCAAGAAUACUGGAGUGGGCUGUCAUUCCCUUCUCCAGGAGAUCUUCCCAAUCCAGGGAUUACAGGUCUCCUGCUUUGCAAGCAGAUUCUUUACCGUCUGAGCUACCGGGGAAGCCCAAUCUUAAACAAUAGAAAGAAUAGAAGAUAUUAGAAAUAUGGUCAAGAAAAGUGUAUAGAAUCCCCUCAAAAAAGGCAAUCAGAAACAAUAAGAAAAACAGAACAAUUCAAAAAUAACCAGCAAGAUCCAAAUAUGAACCAAACUAAAAUGUGGCAUGAUUUUCAGUAUCUAGGUGAAAUAUAUAGAAAAGAUCCUUUUGUUUAUUAUUCCUUUGAGUGACAACAAACCACUCGAACCUUAGAAUAAAUGAAUUUUAGCCUCCAGUAAACUUACUACCCAUAUUAUUUCAAAUGCCAUUUACUGACUUUCAAAUUUUAGAAUACUCCUCUUGACAAAGCAUAUAGAGCCUAAUUACAGUUUUAAAACAGAACAUGAAUUAAUCUCAACAAUGUAUAAGCACAGCUGACAAAAAGUACAAGGGGGAGGAAAAGGCUAGAGUACGACUCAUUUAACUAUCUGGAAAUCCCCAAAGGGACGAAUCCCUACCCAGUAUACCAUGAAAACAGAAAACAUUUUUGCCUCUGGUGAAAAAAAGGUAUUUGCAUUUGGAGGAAAAGGUGGCCAGGAUUUUUUUUUAAUUAUAAACCCCCUAUACUGUUUGAUGUUUUAAAACCCUGUGCAUAUAUUUCUUUAACUCUAGAGUUCAUAAAUUUAAAGAUCAUCUUCAUUUGCAGUGCCCUUGAUAACUAAACAGCUUCUACAUUGAUUUCAUCAUUUUCAGCAACAGGACAUUCUCAAUAACACAUAAAGAUGAUAUUACUGUUUAAGUUCUGAUUUACUCAUUCUAAUUCAAAGUGCUUUUGAUGCCUCUCUUAAGAAUAUAUAAUCCCAAUAAAAAUUAAGUUGGAUAGUACCUCAGAUUAGUGGAGAAAUAAUAAACUGUUAAAUAAACAAUGUGGGUACAACUGUCUAAUUACUUGGAAAGAAUGUUAAACAGAAUCUCUCCCUCUAUACUGAAAUCAACACCAGGUUAAGUACAUAAUACUGAAAUCACAUAUGUAACUAGGAGAAAAUGUAUUUUGUAACACUAAAUGAGAGAAGGCCUUUCUAAAUUUGCCACUAAGAAAGAAAUCUCAGAGGAAAAGAUAAAUCUGACAAUAUAUGAAUAAAACUUUCUGUGAGUAAAGAGGAAAGAAACAACAUCCCAAUGGAAAUAAAAGUAAAGAAAAUUAAAAGGGAACCACAGAAGAAGAAAUUCAAAACCCUCAAAAAAGGCAAAUUAAAAUAACAUAUUUUUGUCUCAGAUGAAAAAAGAGAAUGUCAGUGGAGGGUACAGGGGAAAGGGUACUAACUUACUAUGUGGAUGGAAAUACAAAUUGGUACAUUUCUGGAAGUCAUUUAGAAAUCUGUAUCUACUUUGAGCCUUUAGCAAUUUCUACUAAGAAAAUAAACAUGCAUAUACACAAAAAAUAUCUACCUACCUACCUACAUAUCAACCAACCAGCCAGUCAACCCACUAGCCAGCCACAAUGAUGUACCAUACACGUUUAGUAACUGGCUUUAGUGGGGGAGAUGGCUGAUUUGUAUUAGGUUGGUGCAAAAGUAAUUGUAGUUUUCAUUGUUGAAAUUUGCCAUUUAAUAUUGAAUACAUUCUUAAAUAAAUGUGAUUAUGUUAUACAUCAUUUUAAUGUGCAUUUCUUGCUUUAUGUUUUGCUAAUGACUUAUUGUUUGCUGUUUACUUUGUAUUU
Long non-coding RNA from Dama dama (fallow deer), 4170 nucleotides. RefSeq lists it as uncharacterized. The record is from RefSeq and is a predicted model, not a curated record. The transcript is spliced from 3 exons. NCBI's taxonomy places the organism in Eukaryota, Metazoa, Chordata, Mammalia, Artiodactyla, Cervidae.